UGAGUACGAGACGCUAAGGCGUCGAAGUAGUGGAUGUCAUACUUCCAAGAGAAGCUUGCACUGUCAUAAGUAAAAAAUGCCUGUACCAUAACCGACACAGGUGGGUAAGUAGAGUAUACUAAGGGGCGCGAGAUAACUCUCUCUAAGGAACUCGGCAAAAUAACUCCGUAACUUCGGGAGAAGGAGUGCCUUAUUCUUAAGGUUGCAAUAACAAGAUCCAAGCAACUGUUUAUCAAAAACACAGGUCUCCGCUAAGUCGUAAGACGAUGUAUGGGGGCUGACGCCUGCCCAGUGCCAGAAGGUUAAAGAAGUCGGUUAGCAAUAGCAAAGCUGGUAACUGAAGCCCUGGUGAACGGCGGCCGUAACAAUAACGGUCCUAAGGUAGCGAAAUUCCUUGUCGGGUAAGUUCCGACCCGCACGAAAGGCGUAAUGAUUUGGAUGCUGUCUCGGAGAGGGGCUCGGUGAAAUAGACUUGUCUGUGAAGAUGCGGACUACCUGCACCAGGACAGAAAGACCCUAUGAAGCUUUACUGUAACUUGAAAUUGAAAUUGGACUUUAUUCGCGCAGUAUAGGUGGGAGGCGUUGAUUAUAAUCUUGUGGGAUUAUUGGAGCCAUCAGUGAGAUACCACUCUUGUAAUGUUAGAUUUCUAACUUUGAAUCAUUAUCUGGUCAAAGGACAGUUUCAGGCGGGCAGUUUGACUGGGGCGGUCGCCUCCUAAACGGUAACGGAGGCGUACAAAGGUUUCCUCUGAACGGUUAGAAAUCGUAUCUAGAGUGUAAAGGCAUAAGGAAGCUUGACUGUGAGACCUACAAGUCGAGCAGGGACGAAAGUCGGUCUUAGUGAUCUGACGGUACUGAGUGGAAAGGCCGUCACUCAACGGAUAAAAGUUACUCUAAGGAUAACAGGCUGACCUCCCCCAAGAGUUCACAUCGACGGGGAGGUUUGGCACCUCGAUGUCGGCUCAUCGCAUCCUGGGGCGGUAGUACGUCCCAAGGGUUGGGCUGUUCGCCCAUGAAAGCGGUACGCGAGCUGGGUUCAGAACGUCGUGAGACAGUUCGGUCCAUAUCCGGUGUAGGCGCUAGAAUAUUGAGAGGAGCCUUCUUUAGUACGAGAGGACCGAGAAGGACAUACCUCUGGUGUACCAGUUAUCGUGCCAACGGCAAACGCUGGGUAGCUAUGUAUGGAGUGGAUAACCGCUGAAAGCAUCUAAGUGGGAAGCCCACCUCAAGAUAAG
This 1235-nucleotide ribosomal RNA is filed under the name metagenome. RNAcentral describes it as "bacterial LSU rRNA". It matches the Rfam family "Bacterial large subunit ribosomal RNA", at positions 1564 to 2808 of the family's 2925-position model. The record is from RNAcentral.